RNAcentral lists this ribosomal RNA (235 nucleotides) under uncultured prokaryote. Its description in RNAcentral is "partial 16S ribosomal RNA". It matches the Rfam family "Bacterial small subunit ribosomal RNA", at positions 524 to 758 of the family's 1533-position model. The record is from RNAcentral.
UACGUAGGGUGCAAGCGUUAAUCGGAAUUACUGGGCGUAAAGCGUGCGCAGGCGGUUGGGUGUGUCAGAUGUGAAAUCCCGAGGCUCAACCUCGGAACUGCGUCUGAAACUACUCGACUAGAGUACUGGAGAGGGAAACGGAAUUCACGGUGUAGCAGUGAAAUGCGUAGAUAUCGUGAAGAACACCAGAGGCGAAGGCGGUUUCCUGGACAGCUACUGACGCUCAGGCACGAAA